UACGUAGGGUGCGAGCGUUGUCCGGAAUUACUGGGCGUAAAGGGCUCGUAGGCGGCCAACUAAGUCAUACGUGAAAUCCCUCAGCUUAACUGGGGAACUGCGUGUGAUACUGGAUGGCUUGGAUUUGGGAGAGGGAUGCGGAAUUCCAGGUGUAGCGGUGAAAUGCGUAGAUAUGUGUCGGAACACCAAUGGCGAAAGCAAUCUCCUGGACGCAAACUGACGCUGAGAUACGAAAGCCAAGGUAGCAAACAGG
RNAcentral lists this ribosomal RNA (253 nucleotides) under uncultured bacterium. Its description in RNAcentral is "partial 16S ribosomal RNA". It matches the Rfam family "Bacterial small subunit ribosomal RNA", at positions 524 to 776 of the family's 1533-position model. The record is from RNAcentral.